GAUGAACGCUGGCGGCGUGCUUAACACAUGCAAGUCGAACGGAAAGGCCCUGCUUUUGUGGGGUGCUCGAGUGGCGAACGGGUGAGUAACACGUGAGUAACCUGCCCUUGACUUUGGGAUAACUUCUGGAAACUGGGGCUAAUACCGGAUAGGAGCUCCUGCUGCAUGUUGGGGAUUGGAAAGUUUCGGCGGUUGGGGAUGGGCUCGCGGCUUAUCAGCUUGUUGGUGGGGUAGUGGCUUACCAAGGCUUUGACGGGUAGCCGGCCUGAGAGGGUGACCGGCCACAUUGGGACUGAGAUACGGCCCAGACUCCUACGGGAGGCAGCAGUGGGGAAUAUUGCACAAUGGGCGGAAGCCUGAUGCAGCAACGCCGCGUGCGGGAUGACGGCCUUCGGGUUGUAAACCGCUUUCGCCUGUGACGAAGCGUGAGUGACGGUAAUGGGUAAAGAAGCACCGGCUAACUACGUG
RNAcentral lists this ribosomal RNA (468 nucleotides) under uncultured bacterium. RNAcentral's name for it is "partial 16S ribosomal RNA". It matches the Rfam family "Bacterial small subunit ribosomal RNA", at positions 28 to 507 of the family's 1533-position model. The record is from RNAcentral.